GACGAACGCUGGCGGCGUGCUUAAUACAUGCCAGUCGAACGGAAAGGCCCUGCUCUCAGGGUGCUCGAGUGGCGAACGGGCGAGUAACUCGUGGGUGAUCUGCCUCUUACUUUGGGAUAAGCCUGGGAAACUGGGUCUAAUACUUGCUAGGACCAUGCUGUAGGUGGUGUGGUGAAAAGAUUAGUUUCGGUAUGAGAUGAGCUCGCGGCCUAUCAGCUUGUUGGUGGGGUAAUGGUCUACCAAGGCGUCGCCGGGUAGCCGGCCUGAGAGGGUGGACGGCCAGAUUGAGACUGAGAUGCGGGCCAGAAUCCUACGGGAGGCAGCAGUGGGGAAUAUUGCACAGUGGGAGCAAGCCUGAUGCAACGAAGGCGCGUGGGGGAUAAAGGCCUUCGGGUUGGAAACUCCUUACGGGCAUGACGAAGCGCUUGUGGUGACGGUAGUGAUAGAAAAAGCACCGGCUAACUACGUG
This 469-nucleotide ribosomal RNA is filed under the name uncultured bacterium. RNAcentral's name for it is "partial 16S ribosomal RNA". It matches the Rfam family "Bacterial small subunit ribosomal RNA", at positions 28 to 507 of the family's 1533-position model. The record is from RNAcentral.